GGAGGAGCCCAGAGCCUGAAUCAGUGUGUGUGUUAGUGGAAGCGUCUGGAAAGGCGCGCGAUACAGGGUGACAGCCCCGUACACAAAAAUGCACAUAUUGUGAGCUCGAUGAGUAGGGCGGGACACGUGGUAUCCUGUCUGAAUAUGGGGGGACCAUCCUCCAAGGCUAAAUACUCCUGACUGACCGAUAGUGAACCAGUACCGUGAGGGAAAGGCGAAAAGAACCCCGGCGAGGGGAGUGAAAAAGAACCUGAAACCGUGUACGUACAAGCAGUGGGAGCCUCUUUAUGGGGUGACUGCGUACCUUUUGUAUAAUGGGUCAGCGACUUAUAUUCUGUAGCAAGGUUAACCGAAUAGGGGAGCCGAAGGGAAACCGAGUCUUAACUGGGCGUUAAGUUGCAGGGUAUAGACCCGAAACCCGGUGAUCUAGCCAUGGGCAGGUUGAAGGUUGGGUAACACUAACUGGAGGACCGAACCGACUAAUGUUGAAAAAUUAGCGGAUGACUUGUGGCUGGGGGUGAAAGGCCAAUCAAACCGGGAGAUAGCUGGUUCUCCCCGAAAGCUAUUUAGGUAGCGCCUCGUGAAUUCAUCUCCGGGGGUAGAGCACUGUUUCGGCAAGGGGGUCAUCCCGACUUACCAACCCGAUGCAAACUGCGAAUACCGGAGAAUGUUAUCACGGGAGACACACGGCGGGUGCUAACGUCCGUCGUGAAGAGGGAAACAACCCAGACCGCCAGCUAAGGUCCCAAAGUCAUGGUUAAGUGGGAAACGAUGUGGGAAGGCCCAGACAGCCAGGAUGUUGGCUUAGAAGCAGCCAUCAUUUAAAGAAAGCGUAAUAGCUCACUGGUCGAGUCGGCCUGCGCGGAAGAUGUAACGGGGCUAAACCAUGCACCGAAGCUGCGGCAGCGACACUAUGUGUUGUUGGGUAGGGGAGCGUUCUGUAAGCCUGUGAAGGUGGCCUGUGAGGGUUGCUGGAGGUAUCAGAAGUGCGAAUGCUGACAUAAGUAACGAUAAAGCGGGUGAAAAGCCCGCUCGCCGGAAGACCAAGGGUUCCUGUCCAACGUUAAUCGGGGCAGGGUGAGUCGACCCCUAAGGCGAGGCCGAAAGGCGUAGUCGAUGGGAAACAGGUUAAUAUUCCUGUACUUGGUGUUACUGCGAAGGGGGGACGGAGAAGGCUAUGUUGGCCGGGCGACGGUUGUCCCGGUUUAAGCGUGUAGGCUGGUUUUCCAGGCAAAUCCGGAAAACCAAGGCUGAGGCGUGAUGACGAGGCACUACGGUGCUGAAGCGACAAAUGCCCUGCUUCCAGGAAAAGCCUCUAAGCAUCAGGUAACAUCAAAUCGUACCCCAAACCGACACAGGUGGUCAGGUAGAGAAUACCAAGGCGCUUGAGAGAACUCGGGUGAAGGAACUAGGCAAAAUGGUGCCGUAACUUCGGGAGAAGGCACGCUGAUAUGUAGGUGAAGCGACUUGCUCGUGGAGCUGAAAUCAGUCGAAGAUACCAGCUGGCUGCAACUGUUUAUUAAAAACACAGCACUGUGCAAACACGAAAGUGGACGUAUACGGUGUGACGCCUGCCCGGUGCCGGAAGGUUAAUUGAUGGGGUUAGCGGUAACGCGAAGCUCUUGAUCGAAGCCCCGGUAAACGGCGGCCGUAACUAUAACGGUCCUAAGGUAGCGAAAUUCCUUGUCGGGUAAGUUCCGACCUGCACGAAUGGCGUAAUGAUGGCCAGGCUGUCUCCACCCGAGACUCAGUGAAAUUGAACUCGCUGUGAAGAUGCAGUGUACCCGCGGCAAGACGGAAAGACCCCGUGAACCUUUACUAUAGCUUGACACUGAACAUUGAGCCUUGAUGUGUAGGAUAGGUGGGAGGCUUUGAAGUGUGGACGCCAGUCUGCAUGGAGCCGACCUUGAAAUACCACCCUUUAAUGUUUGAUGUUCUAACGUUGGCCCGUAAUCCGGGUUGCGGACAGUGUCUGGUGGGUAGUUUGACUGGGGCGGUCUCCUCCUAAAGAGUAACGGAGGAGCACGAAGGUUGGCUAAUCCUGGUCGGACAUCAGGAGGUUAGUGCAAUGGCAUAAGCCAGCUUGACUGCGAGCGUGACGGCGCGAGCAGGUGCGAAAGCAGGUCAUAGUGAUCCGGUGGUUCUGAAUGGAAGGGCCAUCGCUCAACGGAUAAAAGGUACUCCGGGGAUAACAGGCUGAUACCGCCCAAGAGUUCAUAUCGACGGCGGUGUUUGGCACCUCGAUGUCGGCUCAUCACAUCCUGGGGCUGAAGUAGGUCCCAAGGGUAUGGCUGUUCGCCAUUUAAAGUGGUACGCGAGCUGGGUUUAGAACGUCGUGAGACAGUUCGGUCCCUAUCUGCCGUGGGCGCUGGAGAACUGAGGGGGGCUGCUCCUAGUACGAGAGGACCGGAGUGGACGCAUCACUGGUGUUCGGGUUGUCAUGCCAAUGGCACUGCCCGGUAGCUAAAUGCGGAAGAGAUAAGUGCUGAAAGCAUCUAAGCACGAAACUUGC
This 2512-nucleotide ribosomal RNA is filed under the name Escherichia coli. Its description in RNAcentral is "partial 23S ribosomal RNA". It matches the Rfam family "Bacterial large subunit ribosomal RNA", at positions 291 to 2797 of the family's 2925-position model. The record is from RNAcentral. Lineage: Bacteria; Pseudomonadati; Pseudomonadota; Gammaproteobacteria; Enterobacterales; Enterobacteriaceae.